This 1069-nucleotide ribosomal RNA is filed under the name Enterococcus faecalis. RNAcentral's name for it is "partial 23S ribosomal RNA". It matches the Rfam family "Bacterial large subunit ribosomal RNA", at positions 368 to 1440 of the family's 2925-position model. Lineage: Bacteria; Bacillati; Bacillota; Bacilli; Lactobacillales; Enterococcaceae. The record is from RNAcentral.
AAGCCCCGUAGACGAAAUGCUAACAACACCUAGGAGGAUCCUGAGUACGGCGGAACACGAGAAAUUCCGUCGGAAUCCGCGGGGACCAUCCCGCAAGGCUAAAUACUCCCUAGUGACCGAUAGUGAACCAGUACCGUGAGGGAAAGGUGAAAAGCACCCCGGAAGGGGAGUGAAAUAGAUCCUGAAACCGUGUGCCUACAACAAGUCAAAGCUCGUUAAUGAGUGAUGGCGUGCCUUUUGUAGAAUGAACCGGCGAGUUACGAUUGCAUGCGAGGUUAAGUCGAAGAGACGGAGCCGCAGCGAAAGCGAGUCUGAAUAGGGCGAAUGAGUAUGUAGUCGUAGACCCGAAACCAUGUGAUCUACCCAUGUCCAGGUUGAAGGUGCGGUAAAACGCACUGGAGGACCGAACCCACGUACGUUGAAAAGUGCGGGGAUGAGGUGUGGGUAGCGGAGAAAUUCCAAACGAACUUGGAGAUAGCUGGUUCUCUCCGAAAUAGCUUUAGGGCUAGCCUCGGAAUUGAGAAUGAUGGAGGUAGAGCACUGUUUGGACUAGGGGCCCAUCUCGGGUUACCGAAUUCAGAUAAACUCCGAAUGCCAUUCAUUUAUAUCCGGGAGUCAGACUGCGAGUGAUAAGAUCCGUAGUCGAAAGGGAAACAGCCCAGACCACCAGCUAAGGUCCCAAAAUAUAUGUUAAGUGGAAAAGGAUGUGGGGUUGCACAGACAACUAGGAUGUUGGCUUAGAAGCAGCCACCAUUUAAAGAGUGCGUAAUAGCUCACUAGUCGAGUGACCCUGCGCCGAAAAUGUACCGGGGCUAAACAUAUUACCGAAGCUGUGGACUACACCAUUAGGUGUAGUGGUAGGAGAGCGUUCUAAGGGCGUUGAAGGUCGAUCGUGAGGACGGCUGGAGCGCUUAGAAGUGAGAAUGCCGGUAUGAGUAGCGAAAGACAGGUGAGAAUCCUGUCCACCGUAUGACUAAGGUUUCCUGGGGAAGGCUCGUCCGCCCAGGGUUAGUCGGGACCUAAGCCGAGGCCGAUAGGCGUAGGCGAUGGACAACAGGUUGAUAUUCCU